CUCCAGUGCUGCUGUGCCAGCAUAAAUUUUAAUAAAAUACCAAUAUAAAUUUAGUCUUUUUACCCCUUGAAAUGUUACUCUAUAUAGAAUGAGACUCACGGGCCUUUAAAUAACAGUCUAUUCAAGCAUCACAAUGAGCUAUUUUGCCCACGUAAGUAGAUACUUUAUUCCAGCAACUUGAAAACGAUUCAGAGAGCUGCCUUGCCCUGCUCUGAGCCACAGAGCCACUCCACAUCUCCACAAACUGAUUUGUCAGAAUG
RNAcentral lists this long non-coding RNA (260 nucleotides) under Cyanistes caeruleus (blue tit). RNAcentral describes it as "lncRNA (ENSCCEG00000010969.1)". Lineage: Eukaryota; Metazoa; Chordata; Aves; Passeriformes; Paridae. The record is from RNAcentral.